This 1505-nucleotide long non-coding RNA is filed under the name Cucumis sativus (cucumber). Its description in RNAcentral is "long non-coding RNA (CSAT_LNC000546)". Lineage: Eukaryota; Viridiplantae; Streptophyta; Magnoliopsida; Cucurbitales; Cucurbitaceae. The record is from RNAcentral.
AAAGUUCAAGGUUAUAUAUCACAUAGUAUGAGGCAUUGUGUUCAAUAGAAAGAAACUUCACCACGUGUAAAGAGUUAAGAAAUUAUUAUAACAAGGUGUUUAUCAUCUGUUAGACUCUCUUUACGAGUGACUUGCAUAUGACCUACUCUUUAACUUCAACAUACUUCAACAUAAUAUGAACGAGAGAGGCAUAUCCAGAGAUGAGAGAGAAAGAAAGAGAGAGGGAGAAAAGGAUUGAUAGGAGAAAUGAUGAGACUGUUGCACUCCAUGACGUCAAUUAACUUCUCCGACAGCGCAUCAUAUCACCUCCGAAAACCACCAAUCAACCAUUCUUACAAAGCCAAGACACAUAUCUACCUUAGUACAAACAACAUUUAAAUUCACCUCACAUUGGGCUCCUUAUAAAUUUCACAGCACAACAAUCGGCUAUCUCACCUUUGAUAGUGCAUCUUCGUCAAGAUUACAAAGUGCCUCUGUUUUUUUCAAUAUGUCUUUUUCAAAGCAAUUUCCGCGACACUGUCAAGUGGAAAAGAAGGAAUACACCCUAGAGUUGGACAAAAAAAUAAGAGGUAUAAGAUUUUUCAUCACUGAACAAAGUGCAUACAAAUCACUCAUACUAGUGGUCACAGUGGAAUAAGUUGAAUGGAUGAAGAAAGUCAUGUUUACUUUGAUCAACACCCUAAAGAACAACAGAUUCUUUCAGAAAAAAAGAGAUAACAGACAAUGUAUGUGGAUUAGUAAAACGCAAAAUAAGAAAGGGAACUUAGCUGAGAUCUUCAAGGUGGACGAUAAAGGAAGAAAAUGCUAUAAAUUGGUGCAAGAAAGUGUUGAAAUAACAUGAUGGAGCAAUUUUUUAAAAAUGCUAAACUACAAGGCUGAAAGAGAAACGAAAGCAUUGCAUGCAGGGUACCAUAGUCGCAAGUUUGAAGUGGACACAUCAUCAGCAGAAUCGGAUACAGAUGAAAGGAAUAAAAAAAGAACAUAUGCAGAAGUGUUAUAUUCCGAAAGUAACUACGACAGCUCAACAGAAAGCGAUAAAUAUAAAGAGAUGAACUCUAAGAAAAGUGAUGAAAGUGAAAAAGCUCAAAGAAAAGGAGACAGGAAAAUACCUAUAGAGUGGGAAAAAGCAGUGAGCAUAACAAGGUGCUAUUUGCACGAUGACUGGGAAGAGAUAUUGGACAAGCUAGCUAAACAGAUUGAAGUCAAGUUCACAUACCAACCUUUUCACGUUGAAAAAGCUAUCAUUCUUCUACAAGGCAAUCAAUAAGCCCGUUUGCUAUGUAGUAACAAAGACUGGACUAUAGUUGGCAAAAACUAUGUGAAGUUUGAAACAUGGAAUAUAAAGACAUUCACACAAAUCAGGAACUCAUGUGGAGGAUUAGAAGAUGUUUCAAAAGCCACAUGGAAGAAACCUGACUUUAUCGAAGAAAGAUUCAAAGUUAAACAGAACUACGCAAAAUUCAUACCAGCCGAAAUCAACAUCACGGAUGAAAAAUUAACAUUUU